Molecule: ribosomal RNA, 372 nt
Filed under: uncultured organism
Description: bacterial SSU rRNA
Rfam family: Bacterial small subunit ribosomal RNA
Source: RNAcentral
CGGAGGGUGCAAGCGUUGCUCGGAAUUAUUGGGCGUAAAGGGUAGGUAGGUGGUCUCAUUUGUCUGGGGUGAAAGCCUUGAGCUUAACUCAAGAAGUGCCCCAGAAACGGUGAGACUAGAGUCUUGGAGAGGGUCGUGGAAUUCCCGGUGUAGCGGUGAAAUGCGUAGAGAUCGGGAGGAACACCAGAGGCGAAAGCGGCGACCUGGACAAGAACUGACACUCAACUACGAAAGCGUGGGGAGCAAACAGGAUUAGAUACCCUGGUAGUCCACGCUGUAAACGAUGGGUACUAGGUUUGGUGGGUCUUGACCCCCGCCGAACCGGCGCUAACGCACUAAGUACCCCGCCUGGGAAGUACGGUCGCAAGACUA